Molecule: non-coding RNA, 867 nt
Organism: Cucurbita pepo subsp. pepo (vegetable marrow)
Lineage: Eukaryota; Viridiplantae; Streptophyta; Magnoliopsida; Cucurbitales; Cucurbitaceae
Source: RefSeq, a predicted model, not a curated record
CAUGGACAGUGGCUCUAAGCCAGAGAAUAUGAGCAUGCCAGAAGAGCGUGCCUCUUUGGCCAGUGAUGGUGAAGUUGUACACGUAGCUUUGCCCCGGUUGAAUCGGACAUUGUGUGAUGUAUGCAGGUCCAUCAGCCCAGCCAGUUCGGAGUUGCCUGAUUCCAUGCCUAUACCACCAACAUUGUAUUCAUAAGACUGAGUUAUCAAACUCCAUUACAAUACAUAGAAUAUGAUUUUGUGGGAACUCACCAGUGAAUGGAAAGGUUAUAUUUGACAUGGUUGACGACUUUGACGAGAACGGUAUCGUCUUCUCUAGCGUAAAGGGUUGGUCCAGGGAAGAGGCCAUUAACGGUGACAAUGGGCUUGCUUGAGCAUAGUCUGGUUGCCUUCCUCAACACCACCUGCCACCCAAAAUGGCUCAAUAUCAGUCAUCACAACAGAAACAGGAAGAAGGCAGCAAAGUGCGAAGAGAACAAAGCAUCUGGAGGACUCCAUUGAAGGGCUGUGGGGAAGAAAUGAAGAAGAAGAAGAAGAAGAAGAUGAUGAGAAGGAUGGGCAUGCAAGUCAGGCUUAUAUACAGAAACUCAAAAUAAGGUAUUAAGGGAAUAAAUCUAUGUUUUGUUGCCAUGUCGUUCUUUCGCAGUUAGGUGAUAAGUUAAAACAUGACUUCAUACAAAAGGAUUUUCAGAUCAAACCACAAUCCGCUGCACCAUUUUCUUUUUCCCUUUUUUUCUUUCUUUCUGAUAUUAUUAAACUUAGUUUAUUAUAAUAUUCUGGAUUCUAUCUAAAAAGUAAAAAUGUUCAUUUUCCAAGGUGUAAUUAAUUACGAUGGUGACAAUCAAUAUAUCCCAUUUUCAUUUCCUUUUU